This 587-nucleotide long non-coding RNA is filed under the name Monodelphis domestica (gray short-tailed opossum). Its description in RNAcentral is "lncRNA (ENSMODG00000046037.1)". The record is from RNAcentral. Lineage: Eukaryota; Metazoa; Chordata; Mammalia; Didelphimorphia; Didelphidae.
UUUCCCUGAAGUAUGGAGAUCAACCUGUCACAUACAACUUGGUUAAGACUUCUGCAACCUCAGCUCAUCCUUGGUUACCACAGGCUCAGACAGAGAUUAGAUGACAACAAAAAAAAUUGUUCAGAUAAGAAAACUAACAUUUCCAGGGACAGAGAGGGAGCUGAACCUCAGGACAGCCAUUCAACUAGAAAUGGUCCUUAUUGGACCCCUGCUGGAUGACCUUGGUCUGGAGGAGGCUUGUCUCUCAGAUAGAAGAGGUAUGGAAAACUGUCAUAGACAAAUUGACAAGUUGAUAUUUUUAAGUUGUUAUAUCUGGUAAACACAAGAUCAUAUGGGUUAGCCUUAACCUGAGAAAACAUUCAGAAAGAACACAUUUCUUCACUUGGCUGUCUUCUACACUUUGAAAUGUGGAGAAUGUGUCUACCCUAGCCUUUAUCUCAUUUUCUCUCUCAUGGAAAGAUAGUCUUGCUUCCCAGUCAUAGGCCCUCCUGAGUGAGGGUGAUGAAUUAUUUCUAAUAAGAAAUCAUUCCCUACUAUUUAGAUGGAUCUGUGUGGAAAUUGAUGACCCAGCUACAUAGAUAUGUUAG